This 306-nucleotide unclassified non-coding RNA is filed under the name fungal sp. RNAcentral describes it as "partial internal transcribed spacer region". The stretch from base 1 to 46 matches the Rfam family "Eukaryotic small subunit ribosomal RNA", at positions 1786 to 1831 of the family's 1831-position model. Lineage: Eukaryota; Fungi. The record is from RNAcentral.
AAGUCGUAACAAGGUUUCCGUAGGUGAACCUGCGGAAGGAUCAUUAACAUAUCUUUUACUCUUUGGGUUUUGGUUUUGUUUGAGUUAAAUCUUUCGAUUUGAUUCAAAUAAUUCCAUUCCUCAUUCCACCCCAAAUGUGCAUUGUGUUGUGCUUUGUAACAAAAGCACUUCUUUUUCUCAACUUUUCCAACCAUAAAACCCCUUUUUAUUACUUCUAGACUGACUUUAAACCACUUGAUUCGUACACUUCAUACUGUACGAUGACCAAUCAUAAUACAACUCUUAGCAACGGAUAUCUAGGCUCUC